AUAUAUAUCAACCCUCUUCUCUUGUUGAGUGGUUUGGAUGUGGGGGUUUGCUUUGCUGGCCUCUUUUUGAGAGGUUCAGCUCCCCUGAAAUGCAUUAGCAGAACGACCUGUUCAUUGGUGUGAUAAACUAUCUACGCUAUUGAACGUGAGGCAGUUCAGCUUCCUAACAGUCCUCCGGACAAAUUUAUCAUUUA
Molecule: unclassified non-coding RNA, 194 nt
Filed under: uncultured Cortinarius
Lineage: Eukaryota; Fungi; Basidiomycota; Agaricomycetes; Agaricales; Cortinariaceae
Description: sequence contains ITS2
Source: RNAcentral